CAUUAAUCCAGUCCCACCAAGGAUUCUUCUCUGUUCCUGCAACAGCACAGUGGGGACCGAGGGCAGGGGCACUCCGCGCUUCCUUGGUUUGGAAGGGCGCAUGUCUGUAGCCUGUGGCCUGCUGACUCACCCACCUUCUGUUCCCCUACGCUGCAGCCUUCUUCCAACUGCCCUUCGCCACCGGUCCCUUAUCUUCAGAAAGCAUAUUUUCCCUGCUGCUCUGGAUCUUACUGAAUGCUACACAUCUGGCUCUUGACUGCUCUGAUAAUAUGCUGUAGCCCGCUGCUACAGUUUUCUCUUAAUCCUCGAGUGAAAGCGAGGAGAGUGAAAUUUUCUUAUCAGUUGUGAACAACUCCUUCCUCUCCCCAGUUCCCCCAGUAACACCACCAGGUCGUUUCUACAUCAUUCCAAUUUGUGUUUGUACCGGGGCUUUGGAUGUGUGUCAGAUAAAAUGUGUAAGAAAAUAUGAGCUUCAUUGAAAAUGCAACGAAGAAAGGAGUCUUUAAUUAAAGGGAUUGUCACGUUGUCCCUAACCAGUCCCAGCACAUUCAGUCAGGCUUCGACCUUUGGGUUCUGUACUGGCUGUUUUUGUAUGUGAACUUGACACAGGCUAGAAUCAUCGAG
Molecule: long non-coding RNA, 624 nt
Organism: Rattus rattus (black rat)
Lineage: Eukaryota; Metazoa; Chordata; Mammalia; Rodentia; Muridae
Exons: 3
Source: RefSeq, a predicted model, not a curated record